UGAACGCUAGCGACAGGCCUAACACAUGCAAGUCGAGGGGCAGCACAAGGAGCAAUCUGAGGUGGCGACCGGCGCACGGGUGAGUAACACGUAUGCAACCUGCCUGUAAGCGGGGAAUAACCCGUUGAAAGACGGACUAAUACCGCAUAAUACUAAAUUACUGCAUGGUAAUUUAUUUAAACAUUUAUGGCUUACAGAUGGGCAUGCGCAUGAUUAGCUAGUUGGAGAGGUAACGGCUCCCCAAGGCAACGAUCAUUAGGGGUUCUGAGAGGAAGGUCCCCCACACUGGUACUGAGACACGGACCAGACUCCUACGGGAGGCAGCAGUGAGGAAUAUUGGUCAAUGGACGAGAGUCUGAACCAGCCAAGUCGCGUGCAGGAAGAAUGUCCCUAUGGAUUGUAAACUGCUUUUGCAGGGGAAUAAAGUGCAUCACGUGUGAUGUUUUGUAUGUACUCUGCGAAUAAGGAUCGGCUAACUCCGUGCCAGCAGCCGC
Molecule: ribosomal RNA, 494 nt
Filed under: uncultured bacterium
Lineage: Bacteria
Description: bacterial SSU rRNA
Rfam family: Bacterial small subunit ribosomal RNA
Source: RNAcentral